UCUGGUUUUGUCAUAUCCCCAAAUCUACAGCCGCCCCCAAUGGGACUAGGAUGAAGACGGAGAUGAAAAUACCGAACUGGAACGCACUCUCGCUGCGUCGAUUCGAAGGUAUGCUGGGGAGCAAUUUCGUGGUGAAGAGGGACUGGGGGCGCUCACGGAAUAGAUGCUAUGGAAGCCAUAAAUGACAUCUCUGUUUCAAAAAAGGUACAGGAAAUAGCCUGAGAAGUAACUCAACACUGAGGACCUGCGAACCCGCGUAAGGCGAUUGAAGACAGCUUGAAGACAGAAGGAACGGAUGUUAAAUCCACAUGACAUUAUCUUACUUCAUCUACUCCUGGUGAUUCUUGUACUGUGCAUACACACACAGUAUGUACAUGAUAUGUCCCCAAGGGCCCUCCCAACCACAACAUUUUUAUUUUUAUCAUUUUUAUUCAUAUCUCUCUUAAGAUUUCACUACCAAUAGUUGGUCAUGAUUAUAUCACGUCAAUCAUCUGGUUUCUUUGAUUUUUUUCUGGCAACUUACAUGCUCCGUAAAUUGAUGGCAGAUUGAAAUUAUUUCUCAUAUCUAGUGUGUGGAUUCACAGGAUGGGGUUUAGUCAUAGGCCUGCAUGUGCAUUUCGGAUCAUGAGAUGCAACGGAUUUGAUCAAGCAAGCCUGUCAUCUGUGAUAUAUUAACCCACCCAUUGAAAAUAAACAGGAUUUUUCUGAUGUCGCUGUAUACAAUACCCCGUUUUCCAGU
Molecule: small RNA, 739 nt
Filed under: Histoplasma capsulatum
Lineage: Eukaryota; Fungi; Ascomycota; Eurotiomycetes; Onygenales; Ajellomycetaceae
Also listed under: 1 other name
Description: hypothetical RNA
Source: RNAcentral